AAAUCCCACCUCAAGAUUCAGGUUUUUUGGGUUAAAAUCCCAACUAAAGAGUUUUUGGGUCAAGAUUUGGGUUCUUUGGGUCAAAAUCCCACCUCAAGAUUUGAGUUUUUGGGUCAAGAUUUGGGUCAAAAUCCCACCUCAAGAUUUGGGUUUUUGGGUCAAAAUCCCACCUCAAGAUUUGGGUCUUUUGGGUCAAAAUCCCACCUCAAUAUUUGGGUUUUUGGGUCCAGAUUCAGGUUCUUUGGGUCUAAAUCCCACCUCAAGCUUUGAGUUUUUGGGUCAAAAUCCCACCUCAAGAUUCAGGUUUUUGGGUCAAAAUCCCACCUCAAGACUUGAGUUUUUGGGUCAAGAUUUGGGUUCUUUGGGUCAAAAUCCCACCUCAAGAUUCGGGUCUUUUGGGUCAAAAUCCCACUUCAAGAUUUGGGUCUUUUGGGUCUAAUUCCCACUUCAAGAUUUGGGUCUUUUGGGUCAAAAUCCCACCUCAAGAGUUGAGUUUUUGGGUCCAGAUUUGGCUCUUUCGGGUCUAAAUCCCACCUCAAGAUUCGGGUUCUUCGAGUUGCGUUUUUGGGUCCAGAUUUGGCUCUUUCGGGUCUAAAUCCCUUCCAUCAGCUUCAUAUCAUUCUCUCCAACCCUCCCCCCUCCCCAUUUAUCCUUUAUUUUGGGUUAAAAACCCCCAAAGGACGUCAAAUUCCAGCUCCGACACGACGUGGCCGAACUUCAGGCUUCCUCCAGCUCCGACCUGACCCCCUCCCACAUUUCCCUUCUCAAACUGGUUCUAUGUCGGGGUCUGUACCCCCAACUCGCCAUCCCGGACCCCCUCAAUGACAGCAGGAAGGAUUCCGACCAGAUUUUUCACACCAAAACCAAGCAGGGCAUCAGCCUUCACCCUACCUGUGUCUUUGCCACCAGCCCUGAGCUGCUUCAUGCCAAGGGAAGGAAAGAGCGCGGCACCGAAGCAGGGGACGGGAUGAGCUGCCACCACCAGCUCCUGGCCUUCGUCUCGCUGCUGGAGACCACCAAACCCUACCUGGUCAACUGCAUCCGCGUCCCUGCGCUGCAGGUGGGCUCCUCUUCCUCUUCCUCUUCCUCUUCCUCUUCCCCUUCCGCCUUCCCCUUCCUCUUCCUCUUACCCUCCUCCUCUCCUCUUACCUGCUUCCUCUUUAUCUCCUCUUCCUCUUCCUCUUCCUCUUCCUCUUCCUCUUCCUCUUCCUCUUCCUCUUCCUCUUCCUCUUCCUCCUCCUCUUCCUUCCUCUUCCUCUUCCUCUUCCUCUUCCUCUUCCUCUUCCUCUUCCUCUUCCUCUUCCUCUUCCUCUUCCUCUUUAACUUCCCCUUACCCUUACCCUUACCCUUCCUUUCUCUCUAUCCUCUUCCUCUUCCUCCCCAUCCUAUUCCAUCCCCUUCCCCUUCCUCUUCCUCUUCCUCUUCCUCUUCCUCUUCCUCUUCCUCUUCCUCUUCAUCCUCCUCUUCCUCUUCCUCUUCCCUUCCCCUUCCUCUUCCUCUUCCUCUUCCUCUUCCUCCUCCUCCUCUUCCUCUUCCUCUUCCCCUUCCCCUUCCUCUCUCCAUCCUCUUCCUCUUCCUCCCCAUCCUAUUCCAUCCCCAUCCCCAUCCCCUUCCUCUUCCUCUUCCUCUUCCUCUUCCUCUUCCUCUUCCUCUUCCUCUUCCUCUUCCUCUUCCUCUUCCUCUUCCUCUUCCUCUUCCUCUUCCUCUUCUUCUUCCUCUUCCUCUUCCUCUUCCUCUUCCCCUUCCCCUUCCCCUUCCUUUCUUUCCAUCCUCUUCCUCUUCCUCCCCAUCCUAUCCUAUCCCAUCCCUUACCUCUUCCUCUUCCCCUUCCUCUUCCUCUUCCUCUUCCUCUUCCUCUUCCUCUUCCUCUUCACCCUCCUCUUCCUUCCUCUUCCUCUUCCUUUUCCUCUUUCUCUUCCCCUUCCUCCCCAUUCCCUCUCCUCUUCCUCUCCCCUCCCCAAUAACCCUCUCCCCUUUCCCCUCCCCAAUAAACCCCUUUCCCCCCCUCCCCAUUAACCCCUCUCCCCUUCCCUGUCUCCCAUUAACCCCUCUCCCUUCCC
Molecule: long non-coding RNA, 2060 nt
Organism: Coturnix japonica (Japanese quail)
Lineage: Eukaryota; Metazoa; Chordata; Aves; Galliformes; Phasianidae
Source: Ensembl